RNAcentral lists this long non-coding RNA (1826 nucleotides) under Homo sapiens (human). RNAcentral describes it as "HSALNT0083351". Lineage: Eukaryota; Metazoa; Chordata; Mammalia; Primates; Hominidae. The record is from RNAcentral.
AAUUCUUAUAUAAAUUCAGCCUCAAUAAGGCUGUUAAAAAAUAGAAGCAACGUGAAGACUGUCUCAGACAUACAAAAGUAGAGAGACGCCACUGUCAGCAGCCGGCACCACCAGGCACUAAAGGACAUUUUAGAGUUGGUUUCCAGACAGAGGGAAAUGAUAAGAAAUAAAAAUGAGGGUCUACACAAAGGAACAGGAGUGGGUGUAAAAUGCAUCAGCAAAUACAAAGCGUGUUUUACCGUAUUUUGAAAUCUCUUUAUUGAACAUUGUUUUAAACAGUAAUAAUAAUACAUUUGGGGUUUAUAAGUAGAAGCAAAAUGUCUGCUAACAAUAGCACAAGGGCUGGGAGGUGGGAAAUGGAACCAGGCAGUUGUAAGAUUAUUAAAUUACAUGGGAAGUGAUGCCAUAUUAUUUGUUAUUCUUGGGUAUUCUUGAUAAGUUAAUGCUGUGUAUUGUCAACUCCAGAGCAACCAUUUAUAAAAACAAACAUGAUUCAUACACCACUUACAAAGCUAACAAAAAUGUAAUAUAAACCCAUGCACACUGUGUUCCAGCAGAACUUCAAAACAAUUCUUAAAUGAUGACUUGGUGGGAAUUAGUUACUAGAAUUUUCCUUCAUGGCCUUGCAGACCGAGGACUUCCGCCAGCUUUCGCAUGGGAGAGCGUCCUGGCACGGGGUGUCUUUGACGUGGGCAGACUGAGGACUUCAGCCAGCUUUCAAAUGGGAGAGCGUCCUGGCACGGGGUGUCGUUGACGUGGGCAGACCGAGGACUUCAGCCAGCUUUCACAUGGGAGAGCGUCCUGGCACGGGGCGUCGUUGAUGUGGGCCAUGAGUUUGCACCUUUUCAGAUGGUGGGAAGCCACUCACAAGUGACAGAGGGUGUCACAUGAUACACAAAACCGAAAGGAAGCCCUAAUCCCGGCAGGAAAGGUCUGUGUGAGGAUUCACCAAGAGUGGACGUCCAGGAGUGUGUGACGCCGGAGCCGGUGUGCCCCACGCAUGUGGAGUUCCACUGCCAAGAGAACACAACUCAUCACCAGAGGAGACAGGAUCGGGGAGGAGGCGGCCAGGCCAGCCCUGGCCCCGGCCACAGGAACACUGGCGUCCCCUGGCUGGGAAAGGACAAGGUGUGCUCCAGUUCUGGCCACGUCUGUCUGGUUUCCCCAUCAGAGGUGGUGGCUUGUGAACUAGGAGCGCUCGAGUCCCAGCGCCGUGGCCCAGUCACCAGACGGUGGGUGGGGAGCCGGGCUGGGCCCUCGCCCUGGCCACAGUGCAGCCCGCUCCACUAGCUGGGACCCGGCUUCCUGCAAAACCAAAGCUCAAGGCUGGGCAGGGCAGCCAGCUGUGUCCCAACUCACCCCAAGUUUCUGCACUUCAUGUCCGAGCAGAUGGGCUUUCAGAGGGGACGCUGCCCUAGGGUUUCACAGCCACUUAUGCUGAGUGAUGCCCAAACCUGUAACUCCCAGUCACUGAUCCUAGGAUCCUUGAACCACAGGAUGCUGACCUCAUUUCCCCACCCAUUGGUGGAUGCGUUCAUCAGAGUCUUCCAGAAACCGCGGUGGGGGGAUCGCCCAGGAUCGCACUCAGGAAUCCCGCCGAGGGAGCUCUGUGAAUGCAAUUUAGGCGACCGCACUUUCUAAUGUUUGAAAUAUUGCGUCUAAGGAGACAUUUCUCUAAAUGUCACAGGAGACACAUGCAUGUUUAAGAAAUGUACAUGAAAGAACAUACUUGAGUAUAUGCCAAGUAUGAUGACCUAGCUAUGAUAAUUUUCAAAAAUGUAGCAAUCGUAUUGUCAGAAACUAUUAUUUUAGAGGUUAGAAUGUUG